GGGGAGGAUGGGAUUAACACAUACACACUCUGUAUGUAAAACAGGAAACUAACAAGGGGCUACUGUAGAGCACAGGGAGAUCUACUCAGUCCCCUGAGAUAACCUAUACGGGGAAAAAAAUCUGAAAAAGAAAGGAUAUAUGUACACAUAAGACUUGUUCCCUUAGCUGUACCCCUGAAACGAACACAAUUGUUAUAAAUCACUUAGACUUCAGUAAAAUUUAAAAGCAAAAACAAACCUAAGUUACCAACUCUGGUUGCACAUGAGAAUCACCUGCAAAACACUCUUUUUUAAAAAAAUGCCAGAUUCCCGUCGUGGCUCAGUGGUUAACGAAUCCGACUGGGAACCAUGAGGUUGUGGGUUCGAUCCCUGGCCUUGCUCAGUGGGUUGAGGAUCUGGUGUUGCUGUGAGCUGUGGUGUAGUUUGCAGAUGUGGCUCGGAUCCCACGUUGCUGUGGCUCUGGCAUUAGACCCCUAGGCUGGGAACCUCCAUAUGCCGCGAGUGUGGCCAUAAAAGGACAAAAGACAAAAAAACAAAAAACAAAAAAACAAAAAACAAUUCCUGGAGGGAGGGAUAAAUUAGAAGUUUGGGAUUAUCGUAUACUCAUUACGCUACAUAAAAUAGACAAGUAACUAGGACCUACUGUAUACUGUACAGCAUAGGCAACGAUAUUCAUCAUUUUGCAAUAACCUAUAAGAGAAAAGAAUCUGAAAAGCUUUACAUAUGUAUAUAUAUAAAGUUAGUUAUGUAUAUAUGUGUAUAUUCAGCUGUAUACAUAUAACUGAAUCACUGUUGCAUACCUGAAACGAACAAGAUAUUGUCAAUCAACUAUACGUCAAUAAAAGUACUUAAAUAAGUCAAUAAAUGGAUAGUAAAUUCUUCAGGCUUUGAGGCUCCUACAGGCUCCAUCACAAGUCCUUAGCUGCCCUUAUGGGGCAAAAGCCAUCACGGUCCACCUGUAAAAGAAUGGACAUGGCUUGUGUUCCAAUAAAAUUUCAUUUAGAGACACUGGAAUCUGAAUUUCAUAUCCCUUGCCCAUGUCUUGACAUACUUGCCUCAUUUUUAUUUUUUCAACCCUUGAAUUUCAAGAUAAAAACCACGCGUCACUCGGGCACUGCACAAAACCAGGGGGUGCUCUGUUCCCAUGGGGUGUCGUUUGUUUACCCUGGUAUCGUUAAUAAAAUCAUGUUUUCAAAGAGAGUUUUACCUGGGAAAAUGCUAGCAACAGAAUCUUGAGUGAAAAAAAAAAAGGCAGAAUCUAAAACCAUUUUUCCAAUAUGCCCUCAUUUUGUAAAAAUAAAGGCAUAUCCAAAGAACUUGAAAAAAAGUACCCCAGAACAUUAAAAUGCUUUUCUCGUAGGGCAGCGUUGCAAUGAUUUUUUAUUCCCUUUGUAUGCUUUUCUGUAUUUGCUAAAUGCUUUCCAACGUGUGAGUAUUGUUCUUAUAAUAAGUAACAUUACUUUGAAAAAUGCUGUUUUGAAAAAUUAUUCUCAAGCGGGUUCUCUCUCCUGGCAUUUUAAGUAUUCAUUUUCCAUAUUUUGAAAUUUAUUUCCUUUCUCCGUCAUUUGUUUUCUUCUUUGGAGGAAGUUUGCCAUCUAUUUUAAGAACAUCCUUCAUUCGUUUUCUUACUCAUUCUUUUCCUGUUUCCCCCUCUCUCUCCCAGUGAUCUUUCUCAUGUCUGACAUUUUUCAAAGUUCUAUUCUGAGCCCAAAGGGGAAACAUAUGAAACAUAUUCAUUAUAGGGGAACUAAGCUUUCAAACACCACUGUUCUAAUUUUAACAUUUUAAGGAUCAAGAGAGGCCUCAGUGUUGUGACCGCGACGUGUUCAACAGAAAAUUUAACCAUAUCAAAAAUGAUUAAAAAUAGAUUUCUGCUUUGUGUGUACUGACCCACUGAGCCGAGGCCCUUCGUCCUUGGGGGAGGACGAAGGGCUUUACGGAGCUUCCCUUCUCUUGCUGUGUGACCGUCUACCCCAUCUGCGUCUCAAUCCUGCAUUAUUAUACUCAAAGCCCUUCUUGAGUAUUUUUCACAUCCCGUCAGAAUGGAGACGCCAGGCGUGGAACACCCCGAAGUUACCGGUCCACUGGCCCAGCUCCUGAUUUCUGUGGCAGACAUCUACUGAGCACCUGUUUUGCAACGGACUAUGUUCCAAGGACAAAAAUGCCCGGAUGGAGAAGAUAAGCAAGCCAGCUGCCCUAUCCGGGCACAGCCUCUAGUGCAGCCGCCAGUGACCUGUAACUGGGGGUAGCUCGGGUGCAAUCGUACUGUCCCCGGUGAGAGUUGAGAUGCGGCCGUAGAUAAAGGAAACAGGACGCCUGUUCAUAAUUGUGCCAGAAAACAGCGUCAGGGGGCUUACACACUAGGAAGGAUGCUGGGAGCCCAUUCUUGGCGGGAGCCAGCUAAUGGCAGCAUGCUUUGUACCUUGCUUCUCAGGACAACCCUGCCCUGCAGGGCCCCACAGCCUGGCUCAGUCCCUUGACUUUUAUGCCAUGGUAGCAGAGAGGGUGUGAAGGAGGAAGGUAGAGACAGGGCCCUGCAGGAAUAAUGCACGGAUUCAUCCCGUACCUUGUGCUGGGCCUUCCUGUGCACUGUACCAGAACCGUCUCACGGAACUGAUAGGACAACCACACGGGCUCAGUACUGGCUUCACACCAUCUGUCUGAAUCACAGUUCAGGGAGAGACUGAUUUAUUAUAGGGACCGGCUCAGGCUGUCCCAUCAGCCAAGAACUUCUGUGAUCCGCUCUCUGCAAGGUGCUACGGUCUCACUGUCUCCCCGCCCAGUUCAGAUGUUGACACCCUAACCCCCUGCAAUGCGAUGGGCUCAGGAGUCAGGGCCUGGGGGGAAGUGCUGAGCUCAUGAGGGUGGAGCCCCCCAAGAAUGGGAUGAGAGUCCUGAUAAAAAGACCCCAGAGAGACCCCGUGCCCCUUCCACCAUGAGAGAAGGUGAAGGUGAGAAGACGAAGUAAAGAAGAUGAACCAGGAAGAGGCCCCUCACCCGAACUCAACCCUGCUGCCAUGACCUUGACCUUGAACUUCCCAGAAUGGUGAGAGCUGAAUAUCCGGUGUUCAUAAGCUCUCCAGUCUGUGUUCAUUUGUCACAGCCGCUUGUAUCAACUAAGACACCAGGAAGGCCACCACCGUCAUUCAGUCCAGGUCCAAAAGACGGAGAACGAGAGGUGAUGGUUCCUGGGGGUAGGAGGUGAUGGAUGUUGCAGCUCAAGCAGACAGAGAGCGCACUCUUCCUCUGCCCUUUUGUUCUCUUCGUGUCCUUAGUGGAUGGGUUGAGGCCUGCCCACGUUGCACUGGGGGAGGGGGGGUCUGCUUUACUCAGGCUACCAGCUCAGCUACUCAUCUCUCCCAAACACCCUCACAUUCCCACCCCAAAUUCACGUUUUACCAGCUGCCUGGAAUCCCUUCGCCCAG
RNAcentral lists this long non-coding RNA (3425 nucleotides) under Sus scrofa (pig). Its description in RNAcentral is "lncRNA (ENSSSCG00005013447.1)". The record is from RNAcentral. Lineage: Eukaryota; Metazoa; Chordata; Mammalia; Artiodactyla; Suidae.